Non-coding RNA from Triticum urartu, 2388 nucleotides. The record is from RefSeq and is a predicted model, not a curated record. NCBI's taxonomy places the organism in Eukaryota, Viridiplantae, Streptophyta, Magnoliopsida, Poales, Poaceae.
CUGGUUUUUUUGAAUUUUUUUCACGGUAGCUGUAAAAAUUACGCGUGUGACCGAAGUGCUUCGUUUGCCACGUUUCUAUCCUAGAGUGUGUACUUGACGCGUGUGACGCAUGGUAGAGCCUUCUCGAGGCUGUAGCGUUUUCCACGUGUGUUUUCUUAAGCGGUUUGCAUUUUGACCGGGUCUUCUGGGCUGUACGUGUCCUGCCCUGCCAUUCUGUACAUAUUUUUCUUGUCGCUCUCGAAACCUCGAGCCAAAUCCCGUGACACCGCUACGCCGCCCUUUCCCGAUAUAAAUGGGCAUCAGACGGACUCUCGCCUCAUCUCUCUCUCUCGGUGCCCGCUCCGGCCGCGUUGCAUCCCCAUCCCCUUUUCUCUUCUUUGCGGAUGCGCCCGCCCAGGUCGCCGGUGACCCUCAUCAUCGGAGACCUCCCCCCAGGUCGUCGCCGGAGGGAGUUGUCUCUUUGGCUAGGCUAGGGUCGUUGCCGAGUCGUGGAGGCGCCCCAGUUCCCCAUCUCCCCUCCUCAAUGAUGGAGAGGUGCGAGAUGGAUGUGGGGAGGAGCGGGCAUGGUGCAGCGGCCGAAGGAGGCGUUGGCCUGGCGGCGGCGGCGGGAGCGGUUGGAGGCGACCACGGGCAUCUGGUCGUCACGGCAGGGGGCGAUGUGGCUGCUCGAGGUCCGGUUCAUCUUGGAUGUCACGGAGGUAACCUAUAUCCGAGCAGUACUUCACUCCAAUCGCAUGACACGCUGCUCCCACAAGUGAGGCUAAAUCCCCAUAUUAUCCAUCCAAAUCUGUCGUGUUCUUUUAAUGAUGUGCUGUGAGAUUCAUGGUUGGGUGCAGACUCCUGCUUAAAGUUUUCGAUCUACACAGUUUCCGGGAUGGAUGAGUGGUGUGACUAAUUUGUUUCUGAAAAUUCCAAGGUUUCCAUGUGGUUUCAGUAAAAUUUGUUGAUUGGGAUAAGUUUGAUUAGUCUGAUGAUUUUGUUGUUUCUUACUGUCAAGAAAAGGUUGAUCUCAUGUUGUUUAUUUUUUAGUAUAUGGGAUUUAUUUUGUAGGACAGAAUUUUGCAGUGGGCACGAGUGGUAAGAACUGACAAUUAAUUGACUUAAUUAAUUACAAGUGUUUGCAUUAUGUAUCAGUUCAGUUUUUAUGUAUGCCUACGUGCAGUCCUUGCCUCAUUGGACAUGUUUUCACUCUCAUAUGGUGAGCCUCAGUGGCCUGUAGCCGCCAGCGUGCCCUCUCGGUGCCUGCCGGUGCAAGCAGGCGUCAACGGGGCAGAUGGCGGCCAUGUACACUGGCAGCGCCAAUAUUCAUGCACUUGAAAAACCUCGGACAGUGAAGAACAUUGGAGUGCAUGGGUACAUUCUUUAUUCUUGAUAUAAUGGUAGGAAGUAUGUAAAUAAUGUUUUUUGUAUUGACACUGACAAAGCUUAUGCAUGAGAUAGAGCUUCAUUGUACAUUACUUUGCAGGUUUCAAGCCUUUUGAUGGAAGCUCAUGUAUCUUCCUAGGCUGAUGGACUCUGGUGCUUGAUGAAUGUUGCCCAGCCCUAGACCUCUCUUAAGUUUUGCAUAAAUACAUCAUCUGGGCUAAUCAAUUUAUAUGAAAACAAAUCAGUAGUGAUUUCGUCAAAUAUAUGGGUUAUUUUGAUGACAGUUAGCUCCUCUCCCUAGCUGAUCAAAUCAACUAUUUUAAUCUCAUUGAACAACUAGAUGAAUUGAGGUGCUAAUUAAAUUAAUAUGCGCCCACCAGUUUAUUAGGUACUAAUUGAAUUAAUAUGCUCUCACAGGUUUAUUAGAGGAUAACUAAAACGAACAUUCUUUGGCUGACAUUUGAAGUAAGAUUUAAAACAACCUACAGAACAAACUGGAGAGGGUACACAUCAGAUGGCUCCCUCCCAUGGAGAAUGAACUGAAGAUUAAUAUUGAUGGCGCUUUCCACCCUGAACCAAACACCGGUGGUUGGGGUGCAGUCAUCAGGAAUCAUAAAGGAGAGGUAAAAGUACGUGGAUUAGGGAGAUUGGAGAAUGUUAUUAACCCCUUACAUGCCGAGAUCAGGCUGUUAUACGGGGUGCCUAGCUAGGAAUUGAUAAAGGAGUGAGAGCCAUUGGCCUUGAAACAGAUUCAGUGCUGCUGAAGCAAGGGGUAAACAAUAAUGAAUGUGGCCUCUCUGCUGUCUACCUAGGCUUAGAGGAGCUCAAGGAAUAUCUGAAGCAAAAAACUUUGAAGUGUGUCGUUUUACUUCUGCUAGGAGGAACUGUAAAUAAGUAGGCCAUUGUUUUGCUAGCUAUGGUAGUACCUUAAGCAUGUAUGAUCAUCUUCAAACAGAUCAUGUAAUUCCACUUGUAUCGGACCUGGUGGCGACUCUUCUCUAAUUUCUGCAUACAUCUCCCCUA